Molecule: non-coding RNA, 133 nt
Organism: Salmo salar (Atlantic salmon)
Lineage: Eukaryota; Metazoa; Chordata; Actinopteri; Salmoniformes; Salmonidae
Source: RefSeq, a predicted model, not a curated record
GCGGAAUACGACUGGUUAAUUAAAACAAAGCAUCGCGAAGGCCCAAGGUGGGUGUUGACGCGAUGUGAUUUCUGCCCAGUGCUCUGAAUGUCAAAGUGAAUAAAUUCAAUGAAGCGCGGGUAAACGGCGGGAG